CCUACGGGAGGCAGCAGUAGGGAAUAUUGCUCAAUGGAGGAAACCCUGAAGCAGCAACGCCGCGUGGAGGAUGAAGGUUUUCGGAUUUUUAACUCCUUUUGUUAGAGAAGAUAAUGACGGUAUGUAACGAAUAAGCACCGGCUAACUCCGUGCCAGCAGCCGCGGUAAUACGGAGGGUGCAAGCGUUACUCGGAAUCACUGGGCGUAAAGAGCGCGUAGGCGGGUUAGCAAGUCAGAUGUGAAAUCCUAUGGCUUAACCAUAGAACUGCAUUUGAAACUGUUAUUCUAGAGUAUGGGAGAGGUAGGUGGAAUUCUUGGUGUAGGGGUAAAAUCCGUAGAGAUCAAGAGGAAUACUGAUUGCGAAGGCGACCUGCUAGAACAUAACUGACGCUGAUGCGCGAAAGCGUGGGGAGCAAACAGGAUUAGAUACCCUUGUAGUC
RNAcentral lists this ribosomal RNA (440 nucleotides) under uncultured bacterium. RNAcentral's name for it is "partial 16S ribosomal RNA". It matches the Rfam family "Bacterial small subunit ribosomal RNA", at positions 338 to 795 of the family's 1533-position model. The record is from RNAcentral.